This 577-nucleotide ribosomal RNA is filed under the name uncultured bacterium. Its description in RNAcentral is "partial 16S ribosomal RNA". It matches the Rfam family "Bacterial small subunit ribosomal RNA", at positions 355 to 920 of the family's 1533-position model. The record is from RNAcentral.
UGGGGAAUUUUGGACAAUGGGCGAAAGCCUGAUCCAGCAAUGCCGCGUGUGUGAAGAAGGCCUUCGGGUUGUAAAGCACUUUUGUCCGGAAAGAAAUCCUUGGCUCUAAUACAGUCGGGGGAUGACGGUACCGGAAGAAUAAGCACCGGCUAACUACGUGCCAGCAGCCGCGGUAAUACGUAGGGUGCAAGCGUUAAUCGGAAUUACUGGGCGUAAAGCGUGCGCAGGCGGUUUGCUAAGACCGAUGUGAAAUCCCCGGGCUCAACCUGGGAACUGCAUUGGUGGCUGGCAGGCUAGAGUAUGGCAGAGGGGGGUAGAAUUCCACGUGUAGCAGUGAAAUGCGUAGAGAUGUGGAGGAAUACCGAUGGCGAAGGCAGCCCCCUGGGCCAAUACUGACGCUCAUGCACGAAAAGCGUGGGGAGCAAAACAGGAUUAGAUACCCUGGUAGUCCACGCCCUAAACGAUGUCAACUAGUUGUUGGGGAUUCAUUUCCUUAGUAACGUAGCUAACGCGUGAAGUUGACCGCCUGGGGAGUAACGGUCGCAAGAUUAAAAACUUAAAAUGAAUUGACGGGGUC